This 75-nucleotide transfer RNA is filed under the name Chloroflexota bacterium. RNAcentral describes it as "Chloroflexi bacterium tRNA-Gly". It matches the Rfam family "tRNA". Rfam says of the family: Transfer RNA (tRNA) molecules are approximately 80 nucleotides in length. Their secondary structure includes four short double-helical elements and three loops (D, anti-codon, and T loops). Further hydrogen bonds mediate the characteristic L-shaped molecular structure. tRNAs have two regions of fundamental functional importance: the anti-codon, which is responsible for specific mRNA codon recognition, and the 3' end, to which the tRNAs corresponding amino acid is attached (by aminoacyl-tRNA synthetases). tRNAs cope with the degeneracy of the genetic code in two manners: having more than one tRNA (with a specific anti-codon) for a particular amino acid; and 'wobble' base-pairing, i.e. permitting non-standard base-pairing at the 3rd anti-codon position. The record is from RNAcentral. RNAcentral also lists the same sequence under 2 other names. Lineage: Bacteria; Bacillati; Chloroflexota.
GCGGCAGUAGCUCAGGGGUAGAGCAUUUGCUUCCCAAGCAAAGGGUCGAGGGUUCGAAUCCCUUCUGCCGCUCCA